GAAAUGCGAUAAUUAAUGUGAAUUGCAGAAUUCAGUGAAUCAUCGAGUCUUUGAACGCACAUUGCACCCCCUGGUAUUCCGGGGGGUAUGCCUGUCCGAGCGUCAUUGCUGCCCUCAAGCCCGGCUUGUGUGUUGGGUCCUCGUCCCCCCCCGGGGGACGGGCCCGAAAGGCAGCGGCGGCACCGCGUCCGGUCCUCGAGCGUAUGGGGCUUUGUCACACCGCUCUCGUAGGCCCGGCCGGUGCUGGCCGACGCUGAAAAGCAACCAUUAUUUCUCCAGGUUGACCUCGGAUCAGGUAGGGAUACCCGCUGAACUUAAGC
This 320-nucleotide unclassified non-coding RNA is filed under the name plant metagenome. Its description in RNAcentral is "partial contains 5.8S ribosomal RNA, internal transcribed spacer 2, and large subunit ribosomal RNA". The stretch from base 1 to 105 matches the Rfam family "5.8S ribosomal RNA", at positions 50 to 154 of the family's 154-position model. The record is from RNAcentral.